Rosa rugosa (rugosa rose) is the source of this 415-nucleotide long non-coding RNA. RefSeq lists it as uncharacterized. The transcript has 2 exons. The record is from RefSeq and is a predicted model, not a curated record. Lineage: Eukaryota; Viridiplantae; Streptophyta; Magnoliopsida; Rosales; Rosaceae.
UUUUAUUUUAUUUUUCUUUAAGCCUAAUUCUAGCCUAUAUAAACACAUGAUCUCUAUCAUAUUUUCCUACAAGCUUAACAAUCAAAUGCAAAAUUUGAUCAAAAACUCCCUUAGUUGAAGAGAAAACCCAACUAAAAGUUCCUCACACAAAUCCUUCAUCCUAUUUCCCUUAAGAAGUUUCCUUUUGUGAAAGAAGUCCAAGCUUGAUUUCAAGACCAAAAUCUUCACCUCACCUUCUGAUUUCCUUAAGUAUUGAGUAGAUGCUUGGGGAAACGGGAUGAACCUACUAGAUAAAAUAAUAUUUUUCUACUACUAUUUCUAGUGAAUACCUGUACUGAUUCGAAUUUUGCUUAACUUUGGUUAUGUAAAUAUAUUACCGAUAUUAGUUUUCUAAUAAAAGUACUAUUCAAACAUG